This 1815-nucleotide ribosomal RNA is filed under the name Petalura hesperia. Its description in RNAcentral is "partial 18S ribosomal RNA". Lineage: Eukaryota; Metazoa; Arthropoda; Insecta; Odonata; Petaluridae. The record is from RNAcentral.
GUAGUGAUAUGGUUGUGUGAAAGAUUAAGGGAUGGAUGUGUGAGUAGAAGGGGGAAUAAGGUGAAAGGGGGAAUGGGUGAUUAAAUGAGUUAUGGUUGGUUGGAUGUUAGGGAGAGUUAGAUGGAUAAGUGUGGUAAUUGUAGAGGUAAUAGAUGAAGGUAGUGGGGGGAGGAGUGAUGGAAGGGGGGGUUUUAUUAGAAGAAAAGGAAUGGGUGGGGUGGUGGGUGGGUUGGGUUGGUGAGUGUGAAUAAGUUUGGGGUGAUGGGAGGGUGGGAGGAGGGGGGAGGGAUGUUUGAAAUGUGUGGGUUAUGAAGUUUGGAUGGUAGGUUGUGGGGGUAGGAUGGUUGUAAGGGGUGAGGGGGAAUGAGGGUUGGAUUGGGGAGAGGGAGGGUGAGAAAGGGGUAGGAGAUGGAAGGAAGGGAGGAGGGGGGGAAAUUAGGGAGUGGGGGGAGGGGGAGGUAGUGAGGAAAAAUAAGGAUACGGGAGUGAUGGGAGGGGGGGUAAUGGGAAUGAGAAGAGUUUAAAUGGUUUAAGGAGGAUGUAUUGGAGGGGAAGUGUGGUGGGAGGAGGGGGGGUAAUUGGAGGUGGAAUAGGGUAUAUUAAAGUUGUUGGGGUUAAAAAGGUGGUAGUGGGAGGUGUGUGUGGGAGGGUGGGUUGGGGGGUUGUGGGUGGUGAAGUGGGGGGUGGGGAGGUGGUGGGGGUGGGGGUGUAAAAGGGUGGGUUAUGGUUGUUUGGUGGUGUUGAUUGAGUGGGUUGGUGGGGGGGGAGGUUUAGUUUGAAGAAAUUAGAGUGGUGAAAGGAGGGGGUUGGUGGGGUGAAUAGUGUGUGGAUGGAAUAAUGGAAUAGGAGGUGGGUUGGAUUUUGUUGGUUUUGAGAAGUGGAGGUAAUGAUUAAUAGGGAGGGAGGGGGGGAUUGGUAUUGGGAGGUUAGAGGUGAAAUUGUUGGAUGGUGGGAAGAGGAAGGGAUGGGAAAGGAUUUGGCAAGAAGGUUUUGGUUGAUGAAGAAGGAAAGUUAGAGGUUGGAAGGGGAUGAGAUAGGGGGGUAGUUGUAAGGAUAAAGGAUGGGAGGUAGGGAUGGGGGGAAGUUGGUUAUAUGAGUGGGGGGGGAGGUUGGGGGAAAGGAAAGGUGUUGGGUUGGGGGGGAAGUAUGGUUGGAAAGGUGAAAGUUAAAGGAAUUGAGGGAAGGGGAGGAGGAGGAGUGGAGGGUGGGGGUUAAUUUGAGUGAAGAGGGGAAAGGUGAGGAGGGGGAGAGAGGGGUAGGAUUGAGAGAAUAAGAGGUGUUUGUUGAUUGGGUGGGUGGUGGUGGAUGGGGGUUGUUAGUUGGUGGAGGGAUUUGUGUGGUUAAUUGGGAUAAGGAAGGAGAGUGUGGGGUGGUAAGUAGGGGUUGGAAUGUAUUAUGGUUGGAAGGUAGGAAUGUUGUUAGAGGGAGAGGGGGGUGGUAGGGGGAGGAGAUUGAGGAAUAAGAGGUGUGUGAUGGGGUUAGAUGUUGUGGGGGGGAGGGGGGGUAGAGUGAAGGAAUGAGGGUGUGUUGGUAGGGGGAAAGGGGUGGGUAAGGGGGUGAAGGUGGUUGGUGGUAGGGAUUGGGGGUUGGAAUUUUUUGGGAUGAAGGAGGAAUUGGGAGUAAGGGGGAGUGAUAAGGUGGGGUUGAUUAGGUGGGUGGGGUUUGUAGAGAGGGGGGGUGGGUAGUAGGGAUUGAAUGAUUUAGUGAGGGGUUGGGAGUGGUGGGGGGGAGUGGGGGUUUAAGGGGGGGGGUGGGGGGGUUGGGGGAAAGAUGGGGAAAGUUGAUGAUUUAGAGGAAGUAAAAGUGGUAAGAAGG